UAAUUUUCAGAUAACAAAUUUUCAUAAUCUAAAUCCACCAUAAUUACCAGUAACAAAACACAAAUCACAAGGUGCUACAACCAUACGGUACUCGACAGAAAAUUAACCCCAUCAUUCGAUCUACAACUAAAACGAUAUGUACAGAACAGGCUACAAACAAAGGUGUCAUCUAGGUGUAUCUAACCAGACUCAAAAAACAGAAGGGGGAGGAGGAGGAGGGGGAGGAAGGGAAGGGAGGGUAAGUACCCUAACUGGAGGCGGCUGUGCAACUACAAUUAUUGAACAAUGCCUCGCAUCCGUCUUUAAUUUUUGGCAGACCCGAUAACAUUUCAAUCCUUCGUUACAGAUUGGUUGACCUCUGAUGUAUUAUCUUUCUGGCUUGGCGGAGGCACGGAUUCUCCUAUUUUCAACUCCCCACUUUGUUGUUGCUGCUGCUGUUGCUGUUGCUGAUGAUGCUGCUGCAUCUGUUGCUGCUGGAGUUGAUGGAGCUGAUGCUGCUGAAACUGGUGCUGCUGCUUCUGAGAAUGAAUCUGGAGCUGUUGAAACUGCUGUGCAGUUAGAAGAGUGUGCAUUGCUUGAUUGUUUGGAUAGAACUGCUGCUGACCCGCCGCGCCAAAAGAAGCGUAGUUCAUCAUAGGUCCACCAUUUGGCAUAGCUUGGCCAGUCAUAACUUUCAGAUGCUGAAUUUCUUCUUUCAGUGCAUUGUUCAAUGCUACGAGACAAACAAAAACAAUAAUGUUUCGGCACAAUUUCAUUCACAUAAGGAUCAAGAACCAGAAGUUACACGGAAUCCGAUCAGCAAGAAAACCUAAAUUAUAGUAUUGUACUGAUACUACACAAACAAGAUGCUACAGUCUAAUUUGAGCAAAACUUCUACAUCGGAUGCUAAUUGGCUCUAAAAAUUAACCAUCCAAUACGAUGGCCAGUCCACUUCAGGUUAGCCAGCAUGUUGUUUAUGGCCUACUACAACAUUGAAAAUGGGCAUAAAUUCAAGGAAAAUCGUUCUUGUCGACAUCGGUGGGGGAGGCAUACCCAGCACCGCUUUGAUUAGCCACAGGAAACUAGAUCCAAUGACUGUACACAGGCUAUGAAUUAGAAGCAAAUAGAGAGACUAAGAACAAAAAUCUACUCAUUUGAUAGACAAGCAGUAAAAUGGUCAAGGCAAGUCUACAUUUACAGCUCAGUAAUAAAAGCCAAAAACACAUAAACCUCUCCGACUAAACAUUCAUCAUAAAGAUGCCAACUCAUGCAAUAUAAAUUUAAAAACACUAAUUUAGUACCUUCUGGAUAAGUUGAAGAAACAAUCAAAUCAAAUCAUAAACUAGUUUAGCACAUAAUUUAGUACCAUCUGGAUAAUUUGAAUAAACAAUCAAAUCAUAAACUCAUUGUGCAAUAGGAAAUGCCGAGGAACCAAAGUUCUUUUGCCGAAUCUUAUAACGUAGACUAUAAUAAAUUAGGUAUUUGGUAAAAGCAUAUGGUGCAAAAAGUCUUCAUCAACCAAAAUCAGAAUUAGCAACCAAUUUUUAUUCUGAGUUAGCAGCAGGAAACAAUGUCUGCCAACUUAACUUAUGGCAUCUUGGAUUCUAAUCUAACAAAAAAUCAAGUAUAUGUAUGCUAGCAUCUACUUAUUGGAUCGUCCAUUACGUACAAAGUUAUUGUGUGUCAGCGUGCUUGUAUCAUGCUUAAUUUCUCCUUUCAGCCAAUGACCACAGACAAUUCAAUAAAAUUAAGGAAAGAAAUAGAUUAUAUGAAAAUUAAUUCUAAUCAUGAAAAUUAUGUACAUUGUUUGCAAACGCAGUUUCAGUUCACUGUUCUCAGCAGUCAGACCAUUUGUAUCUCUCUGCUCAUAAAGAAAUCCAUAAGAAUAAUCGCUUGUAUCUCGUUAUGUAAGCUAGAUCAAACAGUCAUGUGAGUAGUGAAGUGAAAACGAAGGGAAUCAUAAGCAAAGACAUUCAUCUAAUCAGUCCAAUAAAGAGAACCUGGUCUAAUAAAGGAAUGGGUUAAGUGAAAUUUACCUGCAAGAGAGUCAAUUGAGCAGACAAGGAUGUUGCUUCUGUUUGCAACGUCUGGACUUUCUGUUCAAGCUCAGCAAUAUCUCGCAUUUUCCUUUCUUUUGACCUUGCAGCUGAAUGCCUAUUAGCCCGGAUCCUAAUGCAUGUCAACCAAAGGUAAAAUAUUAAGCAUAAUAGUUGAAGCAACGGGGCAAAACAAGGAGACAACGAACUCUUUUAUUUUCAUUUAAGAAGGGAAAAUGAAGAAGGGCAAAAACUAGAAAGCACCAAAGAAAAUCAGAUCCACUUCAAGGGUAACAAGAUGUCACAGGUGCAUUGUUGGAUUGUAUUGCACUUGGUUUGAUGUUAUUUUAGUCGACAAUGCAAAGAUUGGAGAAACAAAGAGGAUGGCACAUAUAACUGCCCCUCACCAUUGACCUUCUCAAAUUUGGAUCACUUAAGCAUUGGAUUGUAUUCAUUCUUCAUGUUAACUUUGUUCUGCAGGCUUCCUUCCUAUGGCUAACUUAAGCAUUUGAGUUAUUCUUUUUUUUUUCAAAGAUAUUUAGCUAUUUAAGUUUUUUUUUUGCCUGAUGUUGAACGAGAUUUUAAAUUCGAAUUAUGGUACCUAUUAUACAUGGCCGCACAUGGUGUGAAGAGAAUGAGCAUAUAUGCAAGUCCUCUUGUGGACCCGUAAAGGAAUGGGAAGCCCUACUGCUUAGUCCCCACCCAUCUUCUGCAAGAGAAAAGAAGAGAAAAAAACAAAUAGAGCCAGUAAGGCUCCCCACCCAUCAUUCUUUUUUUAGUAACAUUAAUAUUUGCAUUUGGUUGUCUUUACCAAGCAAUUCAGAGACAUGGGAUCGGAGAGCUUUCAGCCGUCUUCUCCUCCUCCUCCUCCAUGUGGAGGUGAAGAACCACCCAGAAACUGGCCGGUGGAUACUAAUUCAUCAAAUUUAGUACGUAAGGAUGAUAAGCAGGAUGGGAAACGAGACACCCCCUCCUACAUAUGCAGUAAAAGGCAACCCAGAGGCAAAUGGUGAAGUGGUUCAUACAUAGGACGUCUUGUAUAUCGCGGUCUGCUGUCAACUAAUAACAUCAAUAUUAUUAUUAUGAAUAAUAAUUAAGCUCUUCCAUUAAAGUUCUAUAUAUGUACUUCCAGAAUCCAGAGCUUUGUUAUGUUUGUCCCCUAGCAGACAUGGCAUGUAUUUGUAAUUUUAGUGAAUUUUAAUUUUAGUGUGUGUGUCUGUGUCUCUGUGUGUGUGUAGAGCUCUUAAGAAGAAGGAAAAUAGAUCACUCACUAGAUUUAUUGUACAUUAUUGAAACAAGAAAUGAACGUCAACAUUAAAAUCUUGCAUGGAGAGAGAAAGUAUCGGCUGUCACGUGUGCGUUUCAGCAUUUACUCGUGUAUUUUGGUUUCCGAUCUUGCCCCUACCCAGCUCUCUCCAGUCUCCACCAAGCUUUUUGCCAUUUUCAUCUCUUUUUUUUUCAUGCAAACUAAAGCCAAUAUUUACGCUAACUAUUUUACACUUGUUCGGGAGUUGGUAAGUUGCACUAGGAAUAGAAUACAACUCGUUUGAUAAUUAUUUUAAAGCAAGGCUCAUUUAGUAAUGAUCUCGUUUUAGGUUUUAGUUAUAAACUUGAAACUCGUUUGAAUGUGCUUUUAAAAUGACUAAAAACGUUUUUGAUGAAAAUAUUUUUUAAAACAAUUCUUAGUAAAAAUGUUAGUAAAUUCUGGAAAAACACUUAAAGUGUUUCCUGGGAGAAAAACAUAACUGAUACUUCUGGUAGAAAUGACUUAAGAUGCUUUUGAAACCCAAAAACAUUUUCUCUAAAAACCCUUUCAGUCAAAUUAAAAAUACAUCCAAACGAGCCAUUUUACUUUUCGUGCUUAAGAUAUAAAAUGUAUAUUGAUGAAAAAGGGUGGUGAGAGCAACGGUGGGAAGAGAUAAAAAAAAAUGAAUAAAAACAAAUUCAAGAUUUUGAAAGGAACUUAAAAUAGUUUUUUAUUUUUUGUUUCAGUUUUCAAUUUCUUCGCCUUUUAUUAUAUAUUUCUUCUACGUCUACCAUCACCACUUCCUCAAGUUGGGUGCCUACAACCGAAGAUUUGCAGUUUUGUAAAUAUGUUUUUUGACAACUAAUUCAUCUUUUACCCUUAACUUGUAAAAAAUUUAAACUUAUCCUAUAUUUUUGCAAUUAAAUUUUAAAAUUAUUCUAUAUCUUGGACAAAGUCCAUUUGAGGUCAGGUGAAAUCAUGAUGCUAUAUUGUGUGGUGGUUUUGAUCACUCUCGAUUGCAUCGUAAUUGAGUGGAGGGCGAUAUCGUUGUGGAUUAUAAGGAAUAUAUGCUGCAAGGAGUUGACGUGACAAGCAAGCAAUGUAGUGAGUGAUGCUAAAUCAUCAAGAAUAAAAGUUGACAGACCGAGACUAAACCCAAAAACACAUUUAAUUUUCCGAUAACAAAUCUUCAUAAUCUAAAUCCACCAUAAUAACCAGGAACAAAACACAAAUCACAAGGUGCUACAACCAUACGGUACUCAACCGAAAAUUAACCCCAUCAUUCGAUCUACAACUAAAACGAUAUGUACAGAACAGGCUACAAACAAAGGUGUCGUCUAGGUGUAUCUAACCAGACUCAAAAACAGAAGGGGAAGGAGGAGGAGAAGGGGGAGGAAGGGAAGGGAGGGUAAGUACCCUAACUGGAGGCGGCUGUGCAACUACAAUUUUUGAACAAUGCCUCAACCGUCUUUAAUUUUUGGCAGACCCGAUAACAUUUCAAUCCUUCGUUACAGAUUGGUUGACCUCUGAUGUAUUAUCUUUCU
This 4805-nucleotide long non-coding RNA is filed under the name Malus domestica (apple). RNAcentral describes it as "long non-coding RNA (MDOM_LNC003569)". The record is from RNAcentral. Lineage: Eukaryota; Viridiplantae; Streptophyta; Magnoliopsida; Rosales; Rosaceae.